Molecule: ribosomal RNA, 253 nt
Filed under: uncultured bacterium
Lineage: Bacteria
Description: partial 16S ribosomal RNA
Rfam family: Bacterial small subunit ribosomal RNA
Source: RNAcentral
UACGAAGGGGGCUAGCGUUGUUCGGAAUUACUGGGCGUAAAGCGUGCGCAGGCGGCCAUCCAAGUCUGUUGUGAAAUCUCCGGGCUCAACUCGGAGUCUGCAUCAGAAACUGCCGUGCUGGAGUGUGGGAGAGGUGAGUGGAAUUCCCGGUGUAGCGGUGAAAUGCGUAGAGAUCGGGAGGAACACCUGCGGCGAAAGCGGCUCACUGGACCAUAACUGACGCUGAUGCACGAAAGCUAGGGGAGCAAACAGG